Mus musculus (house mouse) is the source of this 62-nucleotide non-coding RNA. Lineage: Eukaryota; Metazoa; Chordata; Mammalia; Rodentia; Muridae. The record is from Rfam.
UAGGGGAGACGGGGUUCAGACACCCUCCCCAAACCCAGGGUAACUCUGAGAGUGGAGGGGAA